Molecule: long non-coding RNA, 831 nt
Organism: Labeo rohita (rohu)
Lineage: Eukaryota; Metazoa; Chordata; Actinopteri; Cypriniformes; Cyprinidae
Exons: 3
Source: RefSeq, a predicted model, not a curated record
ACUUGUGCUCCCUUUGUCUCCCUCUUCUGGUGAACACAGGGGUUAGAAAAAGCUGGGGUCCACCUAGAGAGGGUGUCAUCAUCAAAACCAAUCAAGAACUUUUUAGAGCAAAAUAUGAGAAAACAAAAUGCAUUUGGUUUGGCCCUGAAACCUGUAGUUUAUUAAAUGAGUCUUAUGUUGAUAUCUUGAUAUUUUGUGUGUGAAAUGCAGGUCUACUACUCUAAACCUGAAGAUCCAGUGAUAUACAGCACUAUAAAUGAUGAAAACCCAAAUGAUCCCAGCAAGAACAUAACCACCUACAGUACUAUUGAUCAUGUUCCUGGGAGUGAAGCAAAUCCUCCAGCAGGUGGAACAAUAUACAGCACUGUGGCUCCACACUGACAGCAACAGUGUGAAAAAGAGAUCCUGCUGACCAAGAGAAACAAAAUACAACAACAAGGGACUGUCAUCACAACUUUUUGGUAGAUUUUUUAACAAAUACACAAACACUGAAUCCACUCAUGCAGGUGACUUUUUCCUGUUGAUUGUUUUUAUUUGCAUUUUAUUUUACAUUGUUUGUGAACUUUUUAUCAAAUUUGUAUUUUCAGAAGGACCCAUAUGAAACAAUGUGAGGGUCAAAAUUGAAAGGAUUAUUGCAAAUUAAGUUUAUAGUUCAUAACUAUUAAAAGAUUGUUUUUAACAGUAUGUACAGUUAUAAUUUCUAUUAAAGUAUCUCUGUUUCAUUUCUUCACUGUAGAAAUCACUUUCAGUGUAUUUGUGGAAUAUUUAUUUGCUUUAUGCUCAUUCAACAGACUACACUUAAAGGAUGUAAACUAUGUGAACUAUUAGACG